Apodemus sylvaticus (European woodmouse) is the source of this 822-nucleotide long non-coding RNA. RefSeq lists it as uncharacterized. The transcript has 2 exons. NCBI's taxonomy places the organism in Eukaryota, Metazoa, Chordata, Mammalia, Rodentia, Muridae. The record is from RefSeq and is a predicted model, not a curated record.
CUCCUCGCGGGAGGGUGUCAGGAUGUUCCCGUGUCCCCUCGAGCUUUGCCCGCCCCGAACUCAGCUGUUCCCGGCGGCCAGAACGGAGGGGUAGAGUAGUUCUCGGCGGCCCGGGGGGCGGGCGGCCGUGCCCAGCCCGGGGCCGCGCGAGACACAAAGCCCUAUGCGCUGUCCUUCCCGGGAGCUCUGACCACCGCCCUUUUCCCUCCGCAGGCCGACCCACCCGAGCCGGUCGCCACUGUCCAGCCGUGCUGCUUCCUCGGACACAAGCAGGUUGAAAACUACAAAAAAGAAACUCGUGAGUUGAAUGGCUCCAAGGUGAAGUACUCAUGCAUGUAGUGACCAGUCCUGCGUGUAUCCCACCUUAGGAUUAGUGGCAAAGUUGAAGCAGGGGUAGCCGAAGUGAGCUGCUAUUUUGCAGGGGUAGAGGCCAUAAAGGAAGCAGAAUAGUUUUAAACUGCUCACCGCUCCUUGAGGUCCAUUUUACAAGUGAAGGAUUGGGGCCACGUGAUUAUCCUUGAAUGGCCUAGUAGUAACUGAUUACACUGAAGGUAAUUUCAAUGUACUAGGAUCCUGCCCCCACCCCUUCUGUAUGUCUGAAUCAGAUCCACAUGACUACGACAUACUGGGCCUUUUAAAGGUUCAAACAACAAAAAAAUAGAUUCCCUGCUAGAUGGUUAGAAUAUUUGUAUCUGGCCUACGUGCUAGGACAAGUUCUUGGCUAGUAACCAGUCGUGUGCUAGCAAUCUAGGUGUUUUAGCUGUGUAUUGUUGCCUGUGAGUAAUUUUCCACAAUGUUAAAUAAAGGCUUUUCCUGUGUCAA